AGUGAACGCUGGCGGUAGGCCUAACACAUGCAAGUCGAACGGCAGCACAGUAAGAGCUUGCUCUUACGGGUGGCGAGUGGCGGACGGGUGAGGAAUACAUCGGAAUCUACUUUUUCGUGGGGGAUAACGUAGGGAAACUUACGCUAAUACCGCAUAUGACCUACGGGUGAAAGCAGGGGAUCUUCGGACCUUGCGCGAUUGAAUGAGCCGAUGUCGGAUUAGCUAGUUGGCGGGGUAAAGGCCCACCAAGGCGACGAUCCGUAGCUGGUCUGAGAGGAUGAUCGGCCACACUGGAACUGAGACACGGUCCAGACUCCUACGGGAGGCAGCAGUGGGGAAUAUUGGACAAUGGGCGCAAGCCUGAUCCAGCCAUACCGCGUGGGUGGAGAAGGCCUUCGGGUUGUAAAGCCCUUUUGUUGGGAAAGAAAAGCAGCAGGUUAAUACCCCGCUGUUCUGACGGUACCCAAAGAAUAAGCACCGGCUAACUUCGUG
This 492-nucleotide ribosomal RNA is filed under the name uncultured bacterium. RNAcentral describes it as "partial 16S ribosomal RNA". It matches the Rfam family "Bacterial small subunit ribosomal RNA", at positions 29 to 507 of the family's 1533-position model. The record is from RNAcentral.